Molecule: long non-coding RNA, 309 nt
Organism: Papilio machaon (common yellow swallowtail)
Lineage: Eukaryota; Metazoa; Arthropoda; Insecta; Lepidoptera; Papilionidae
Exons: 3
Source: RefSeq, a predicted model, not a curated record
UGCACUUCAACAUUUAAAACGAUAAUACGUAUCGAAGAGAAUCCAAGUGUCUUUGGUGUUGUUUAUUUUCGGGAUAAUUACGCGCUAUUAUGCACGGUACCAGAAAAUAUGGCUGCGCCAUUGAUUUUAAAGUUACCACAUUUCACCGCGGCCACUCAUCAAGCUAUUAUGGAAAUCGAUGUUCUAGACCAGUUGGUCGCGUACCGCAUAGAAACCUGUAAUUUGGAAGUCUCACUGGUCAGGGACAAACAGUUCGCUGCUUGUGUUGUUCAUAAGAAGAAAGGCUCGUGUAAAAAUAAGAAGAGAAAG